RNAcentral lists this ribosomal RNA (340 nucleotides) under uncultured bacterium. Its description in RNAcentral is "bacterial SSU rRNA". It matches the Rfam family "Bacterial small subunit ribosomal RNA", at positions 1 to 334 of the family's 1533-position model. The record is from RNAcentral.
GACGUGACUUCAGAGUUUGAUCCUGGCUCAGGAUGAACGCUGGCGGCGUGCUUAACACAUGCAAGUCGAACGGACAAGAUGAAGCCUAGCGAUUCUUGUUAGUGGCGGACGGGUGAGUAACGCGUGGGUAACCUGCCUUAUACUGGGGGAUAACAGUUAGAAAUGACUGCUAAUACCGCAUAAGUGCACAGUUUCGCAUGAAACAGUGUAAAAAACUCCGGUGGUAUGAGAUGGACCCGCGUCUGAUUAGCUAGUUGGUGGGGUAACGGCCUACCAAGGCGACGAUCAGUAGCCGGCCUGAGAGGGUGAACGGCCACAUUGGGACUGAGACACGGCCCAA